GGGAAGAGAGGAUUAUUUACUAUUUUGAUUUAUCCUAAAUUCAUACUGAAUCUGUUGAGUUAUUGAAUAUGUCAGCAUCAUGCCAGAAUGCUAUGCUCUAAUCCUCGCAAUUUCUGUUACUUCCUCUUUGACUGCAAUAUAUAUAUAUACACUUUAGAGGUGAUCUAGUGAAGAUCAGCUUGGAAGUUUUGCCAUUUCAAUUCUUAUGGUCUUGAAAGCAAGAUUUCUGAUUGUCUGAUUUCCGUUGAUGCAAUUAUACAUGCCCAAGGGUACAUUUGCAGAAAGCAUUUGAAUGGCCAGUCAACUCAUGAACUUAAUCUUUCAGCAUUGGCUCGUGGCACUUGCAUUUUUGGCAAUGUGAACCCAAGUUGCAAUUGUUUUAUUUCUCCAUUGGGCAUGAUAAUGCCUAGGUGAAAAGAUGCCAUUGCUGGCUGCCUAAAGUAUUGCUGGAAGUACAAUCUUUAAGAAGAUCAUAUAUUAGUCUAGAAUAACAAGAGAAAUAUGAUGAGACUAGAUUGAAAUCACUGCUUAGUGUAAAUGCAACUUCCUUUUCAGAUUCUGCCUUUUUGGAAGGAGUAAUCCUUAAUGUUAUGUUUUUAAGAUUCUGACAUGUUGAUACUCGAUUGUAGAAUGAUAUGAACAAAAGUUCUUUCCUUGUUUGCCUGUUCACCCAUUUUCUCUCACUAUUUUUUCAUUAAUAAAUUGUUUAUGAUCUGUUCUGUACUGUCUAGCUUUUCU
Molecule: unclassified non-coding RNA, 738 nt
Filed under: Hevea brasiliensis (rubber tree)
Lineage: Eukaryota; Viridiplantae; Streptophyta; Magnoliopsida; Malpighiales; Euphorbiaceae
Source: RNAcentral